UACAGAGGGUGCAAGCGUUGUUCGGAAUUACUGGGCGUAAAGGGCUCGUAGGCGGCCAACUAAGUCGGAUGUGAAAUCCCCAAGCUUAACUUGGGAACUGCAUCCGAUACUGGAUGGCUUGAAUCCGGGAGAGGGAUGCAGAAUUCCAGGUGUAGCGGUGAAAUGCGUAGAUAUCUGGAGGAAUACCGGUGGCGAAGGCGGCAUCCUGGACCGGCAUUGACGCUGAGGAGCGAAAGCUAGGGGAGCAAACGGGG
Molecule: ribosomal RNA, 254 nt
Filed under: uncultured bacterium
Lineage: Bacteria
Description: partial 16S ribosomal RNA
Rfam family: Bacterial small subunit ribosomal RNA
Source: RNAcentral